RNAcentral lists this ribosomal RNA (257 nucleotides) under uncultured bacterium. RNAcentral describes it as "partial 16S ribosomal RNA". It matches the Rfam family "Bacterial small subunit ribosomal RNA", at positions 524 to 776 of the family's 1533-position model. The record is from RNAcentral.
UACAGAGACCUCAAGCGUUAUCCGGAAUCAUUGGGCGUAAAGCGUACCGAUAGGUGGUUUAGAAAGUCAGAAGUGAAAUCUCUCAGCUUAACUGGGAGACUGUCUUUUGAAACUUCUAAACUAGAGGGGCAAAGAGGAAGCUGGAACGAACGGUGUAGUAGUGAAAUGCGUUGAUAUCGUUCGGAACACCAAUAGCGUAGGCAGGCUUCUGGGUGCCACCUGACGCUGCUAGGACGAAAGCGUGGGGAGCGAAUGGG